UACGGAGGGUGCGAGCGUUGUCCGGAUUUAUUGGGUUUAAAGGGUGCGCAGGUGGCCCGGUCAGUCAGUGGUGAAAUGCGGCCGCUCAACGGUCGAACUGCCAUUGAUACUGCCUGGCUUGAGAGGAGUGGAGGCCGCCGGAACGGACGGUGUAGCGGUGAAAUGCAUAGAUAUCGUCCAGAACACCGAUAGCGAAGGCAGCUUACUAAGUUGUAACUGACGCUGAUGCACGAAAGUGUGGGGAUCAAACAGG
This 253-nucleotide ribosomal RNA is filed under the name uncultured bacterium. Its description in RNAcentral is "partial 16S ribosomal RNA". It matches the Rfam family "Bacterial small subunit ribosomal RNA", at positions 524 to 776 of the family's 1533-position model. The record is from RNAcentral.